RNAcentral lists this ribosomal RNA (447 nucleotides) under uncultured bacterium. Its description in RNAcentral is "partial 16S ribosomal RNA". It matches the Rfam family "Bacterial small subunit ribosomal RNA", at positions 329 to 793 of the family's 1533-position model. The record is from RNAcentral.
AUCCAGACUCCUACGGGAGGCAGCAGUGGGGGAUAUUGCACAAUGGGGGGAACCCUGAUGCAGCGACGCCGCGUGGGUGAAGAAGCGCCUCGGCGCGUAAAGCCCUGUCAGCAGGGAAGAAAAUGACGGUACCUGAAGAAGAAGCCCCGGCUAACUACGUGCCAGCAGCCGCGGUAAUACGUAGGGGGCAAGCGUUAUCCGGAUUUACUGGGUGUAAAGGGGGCGCAGACGGCAGCGCAAGCCAGGAGCGAAAGCCCGGGGCCCAAGCCCGGGACUGCUCUUGGAACUGCGCGGCUGGAGUGCAGGAGGGGCAGGCGGAAUUCCUGGUGUAGCGGUGAAAUGCGUAGAGAUAAGGAGGAACACCAGUGGCGAAGGCGGUCUGCUGGACAGCAACUGACGGUGAGGCGCGAAAGCGUGGGGAGCAAACAGGAUUAGAUACCCUCGUAC